This 480-nucleotide ribosomal RNA is filed under the name Bacillus songklensis. RNAcentral's name for it is "bacterial SSU rRNA". It matches the Rfam family "Bacterial small subunit ribosomal RNA", at positions 65 to 526 of the family's 1533-position model. Lineage: Bacteria; Bacillati; Bacillota; Bacilli; Caryophanales; Bacillaceae. The record is from RNAcentral.
AGCGGACGGAUGGGAGCUUGCUCCCCUGAAGUCAGCGGCGGACGGGUGAGUAACACGUGGGCAACCUGCCUGUAAGACUGGGAUAACUUCGGGAAACCGGAGCUAAUACCGGAUAACACCGAGGACCUCAUGGUCCUUGGUUGAAAGAUGGCUUCGGCUAUCACUUACAGAUGGGCCCGCGGCGCAUUAGCUAGUUGGUGAGGUAACGGCUCACCAAGGCGACGAUGCGUAGCCGACCUGAGAGGGUGAUCGGCCACACUGGGACUGAGACACGGCCCAGACUCCUACUGGAGGCAGCACUAGGGAAUCUUCCGCAAUGGACGAAAGUCUGACGGAUCGACGCCUCGUGAGCGAUGAAGGCCUUCGGGUCGUAAAGCUCUGUUGUUAGGGAAGAACGACUACCGUUCGAAUAGGGCGGUACCUUGACGGUUCGUACCCCCAAAGCCACGGAUAUCUACGAGCCAACGGCCUCCGUAGUAC